AUUGAACACUGGCGGAAUGCUUUACACAUGCAAGUCGAACGGCAGCACGGGGGCAACCCUGGUGGCGAGUGGCGAACGGGUGAGUAAUACAUCGGAACGUGCCCAGUCGUGGGGGAUAACGUAGCGAAAGUUACGCUAAUACCGCAUACGAUCUCAGGAUGAAAGCGGGGGACCGUAAGGCCUCGCGCGAUUGGAGCGGCCGAUGUCAGAUUAGGUAGUUGGUGAGGUAAAGGCUCACCAAGCCUGCGAUCUGUAGCUGGUCUGAGAGGACGACCUGCCACACUGGGACUGAGACACGGCCCAGACUCCUACGGGAGGCAGCAGUGGGGAAUUUUGGACAAUGGGCGCAAGCCUGAUCCAGCCAUUCCGCGUGCAGGACGAAGGCCUUCGGGUUGUAAACUGCUUUUGUACGGAACGAAAAGCCUUGGGCUAAUACCCCGAGGUCAUGACGGUACCGUAAGAAUAAGCACCGGCUAACUACGUGCCAGCAGCCGCAGUAA
Molecule: ribosomal RNA, 500 nt
Filed under: uncultured bacterium
Lineage: Bacteria
Description: partial 16S ribosomal RNA
Rfam family: Bacterial small subunit ribosomal RNA
Source: RNAcentral